AAGUCGUAACAAGGUUUCCGUAGGUGAACCUGCGGAAGGAUCAUUACCAAAUCCAAAUUACUUAACCCCAUGUGAACUAUUGUUUUAGUCUGUCUUUGGGAGAAACUUCUUUUUUUUUUAAGUGUUUCGUUGACACGCGAUUAAAAUAGUUUCUCCCAAUAGAGUCCGGCAUAACUGUAUGGUUGUGUCCAGAUUCGAAAAACACCCACUAUUAAACCACUUGAUUUAUCUGUUGGAAUUUUUUUUAUUAAAUUAUCAAUAAAAGACAACUUUUAACGGCGGAUCUCUUGGCUCGUG
Molecule: unclassified non-coding RNA, 297 nt
Filed under: fungal sp.
Lineage: Eukaryota; Fungi
Description: partial internal transcribed spacer region
Rfam family: Eukaryotic small subunit ribosomal RNA (bases 1-46)
Source: RNAcentral